ACACGUGACACGGGGUGCCCGCGAGGGCUGAGAUCACACCCGUCGAACCUGAUCUAGUUCGGACUAGCGAAGGGAUGUCGCGCCAUGUCGCG
This 92-nucleotide non-coding RNA is filed under the name Leifsonia aquatica. RNAcentral describes it as "TPP sequence". It matches the Rfam family "TPP riboswitch aptamer (THI element)". From Rfam's summary of the family: Vitamin B(1) in its active form thiamin pyrophosphate (TPP) is an essential coenzyme that is synthesised by coupling of pyrimidine and thiazole moieties in bacteria. Lineage: Bacteria; Bacillati; Actinomycetota; Actinomycetes; Micrococcales; Microbacteriaceae. The record is from RNAcentral. RNAcentral also lists the same sequence under 1 other name.